This 429-nucleotide ribosomal RNA is filed under the name Bacteroidota bacterium. RNAcentral's name for it is "Bacteroidetes bacterium partial 16S ribosomal RNA". It matches the Rfam family "Bacterial small subunit ribosomal RNA", at positions 355 to 776 of the family's 1533-position model. The record is from RNAcentral. Lineage: Bacteria; Pseudomonadati; Bacteroidota.
UAGGGAAUCUUCCGCAAUGGACGCAAGUCUGACGGAGCAACGCCGCGUGAGUGAAGAAGGAUUUCGGUUCGUAAAACUCUGUUGUUAGAGAAGAACAGCGCAUAGAGUAACUGUUAUGCGUGUGACGGUAUCUAACCAGAAAGCCACGGCUAACUACGUGCCAGCAGCCGCGGUAAUACGUAGGUGGCAAGCGUUGUCCGGAUUUAUUGGGCGUAAAGCGAGCGCAGGCGGUCAAUUAAGUCUGAUGUGAAAGCCCCCGGCUCAACCGGGGAGGGUCAUUGGAAACUGGUUGAAUUGAGUGCAGAAGAGGAGAGUGGAAUUCCAUGUGUAGCGGUGAAAUGCGUAGAUAUAUGGAGGAACACCAGUGGCGAAGGCGACUCUCUGGUCUGUAACUGACGCUGAGGCUCGAAAGCGUGGGUAGCAAGCAGG